Molecule: ribosomal RNA, 382 nt
Filed under: uncultured Lactobacillus sp.
Lineage: Bacteria; Bacillati; Bacillota; Bacilli; Lactobacillales; Lactobacillaceae
Description: bacterial SSU rRNA
Rfam family: Bacterial small subunit ribosomal RNA
Source: RNAcentral
AGGUGCUAAUACCCGGAUAAGAAAGCAGAUCGCAUGAUCAGCUUUUAAAGGCGGGCGUAAAGCUGUCGCUAUGGGGAUGGGCCCCCGCGGUGCAUUAGCUAGUUGUAAGUAAGGCUUACAGGGCGAUGAUGCAUAGCCGAGUUGAGAGACUGAUCGGCCACAUUGGGACUGAGACACGGCCAAAACUCUACGGGGAGGCAGCAGUAGGAAUCUUCCACAAUGGACGCAAGUCUGAUGGAGCAACGCCGCGUGAGUGAAGAAGGUUUUCGGAUCGUAAAAGCUCUGUUGUUGGUGAAGAAGGAUAGAGGUAGUAACUGGCCUUUAUUUGACGGUAAUCAACCAGGGAAGUCACGGCUAACUACGUGCCAGCAGCCGCGGUAAU